Non-coding RNA from [Candida] anglica, 71 nucleotides. The record is from the annotation of a GenBank genome assembly. NCBI's taxonomy places the organism in Eukaryota, Fungi, Ascomycota, Pichiomycetes, Serinales, Debaryomycetaceae.
GUUAAUGUAACUUAAUGGAAAAGUAAUAUAUAAAUUAUAUAUUAAUCUAAGUUCGAUUCUUAGCUUUAGCU